This 256-nucleotide ribosomal RNA is filed under the name uncultured bacterium. Its description in RNAcentral is "partial 16S ribosomal RNA". It matches the Rfam family "Bacterial small subunit ribosomal RNA", at positions 524 to 778 of the family's 1533-position model. The record is from RNAcentral.
UACGUAGGGUGCGAGCGUUGUCCGGAAUUACUGGGCGUAAAGAGCUCGUAGGUGGUUUGUCGCGUUGUUCGUGAAAACUCACAGCCUAACUGUGGGCGUGCGGGCGAUACGGGCAGACUGGAGUACUGCAGGGGAGACUGGAAUUCCUGGUGUAGCGGUGAAAUGCGCAGAUAUCGGGAAGAACACCCGUGGCGAAGGCGGCACUCUGGGACGGUACUGGACGCUGAGACGCGAAAGCGUGGGGAGCGAACGAGGA